UCAAAGUUUAGCCCAAAGGAGGAGAAAGAAGGCGAUAGAAAAUGGUGGCUACUGCGGUGUGUUGGGUCUUGUGAGCGGAGCUUGUCUUUUCAAGCUGACCAGACAGGGCUCUGUUUACAUCAGCAGAUGUAAGACCUUUAGCAUUGAAAAUGGGUAGGUCAAAGUCACCGUCUCAUUCAUCAAGAUCAAACUCAAGGUCUCGAUCAUCCUCAAGAUCAAGAUCACCUUCAAGGAAAAAAAGAUACAGUUCCAGGUCACGUUCCAGAACAUAUUCUAGAUCUCGUAGUAGAGAACGCAGAGAUUUUCGCAGAGAUUACAGAAACAAUAGAGGUGUACGUCGCCCUUAUGGCUUUAGAGGAAGAACAAGAGGCUAUUAUCAAGGAGGUGGCAGGUAUUAUCGAGGUGGUUAUAGACCCAUGUGGAACCGAAGAUACUCUCGAAGUCCAAGGCGUGGUCGUUCACGCUCCAGGAGUCCAAAAAGGCGGUCCGCAUCAUCUCCGCGAUCUAGGAGUCGAUCAGGGCACUCUUACAAAUCAUCUCCAUCUCCAAGGUCCUCUUCUUCCCGCUCUUCCUCAAAACACAGCAAGUCUCCAGUAAUAAAAAUUCACACAACCCAGGAUAAACCGGGACAAAAGACAGAAGACUAUAAUAAAUCAGAAAGCCCUGCAAAUAAGUCAUGUGAUGAACAGAAGGAUGCAUUUGACCCUUCUGAACCCCUUGAUGAACUUGGUAAAGAAUUAGAUCUUCAUGGUGACACCUGGGCAGGUCUCUCAGCAUAUGAUAAUAGCCCAAGGUCGCCCUGUAGUCCAUCUCCUGUGACAUCACCACCCAGCCACAGUUCUUCCCACUCUGCCUGUCCUGUCAUGAACGUGGUUCGCUGUGCCAAAGACACACUUUCUGAGAAUAUACAUUCCAUUGUUCAUAGUCCAGAAAUAUCUGGUUCUGGAGGAAACGGUUUAAAACGCUACAGUCCUUCACAGAACAGCCCACUUCAGAUGUCUACAUGUAAAAGCCCAGCAAAGUCUGUUCUUAUUCAGAACCCUCUGGAGGAAAGCCAUUACCAUUAUUCAUUUUACGCAGACACCACUAAGGAGCAUGCAAAUAAUACCAAGUUUUUUGACAGGUAUACAGAUGAAGAAAAUAAGUUGUUUCCUAUUGAAAAAUGCAUUAACAAGGAAAAGGGAACCUGUAAAGAAAGAGGGACUGAAAAAACAAAGAAAGGCAGCAGCAAUGUUUGGGAUGAGCAUGUUGCUUUAGAUUAUUUUUUGGAGAAAGAGCCUGGCAAUUCCCAGUUUUUGGCUAACUCUAAUAGUGAGGAUUUAGAGGAGGCAGAGGACUAUAGACAGUUUAGAAAGUCAGUCCUUGCAGACCAGGGUAAGUCACUGUCAUCUGUAUCUAACUGGAAUUGCGAAGAAGAGGAUUCAAAGUACAAGACCAAGGGUUUGACAAGAUUUUCUAAAGAGGGUGAAAAGUUUAAGGUGGUAAGAGGUAGUAAAAGUGCAGAGCAAGUUGCAAAAGAAAAGCACAAAGAUAAAGUCACUCAGAGGCAUUCUGUUAUGAAAGAUCUACUGUCAUCUGAUGAGCUGAAGAUAGAAAAGACUAAAGACCUUUUCAGUUACAAUCUUACUUUACAUGAAAGUAAUGUAAUAGAGAAGAACAUUUUCAGGGAGGAAAGCCCUGUAAAAAUGAGAAUUGUAGCCACUGAAUCUCCACUCCCUGAAGUCAAACUUCGAAUUAUCACAGUCCCACUUGAUGACGGCAGGGCACCCUGUCUGGAUAAUGAAAGACUUCUAGGCAGUACUCUUAUUCAUUCUGUUAAGAAAGUACAAGCCUUCCGAACCAUCUUUGACCAUCUAAAGGUUCCCUUCACCAGCAGAACAUCUCCGGAAUCCUUUAUGUAUCAUGUUGUGUCUUUAGUUCAUCAUGUAAAAGAGCAUUACUUCAAGGGUUGCGGAAAGACUCUCAAUGAGAGAUUUACAGACUGUCUGAAAGACACAUUGGACCAUGUCAGCCACCUAAGGAGGCCUGAGAUACAUAGGGUGAUAGAUAUUCCUCCUAAUAUUCCAAAGAAGCACAUUCGAAUUCAAGAUGAAGACAAAGCUAUAAAGAAAGAGACGGCAAAGGUUGAGAAAAAGAAAAAGAGUAGUUUGUCUGAUCAGCGAUGUGAUGUCCAACACAAAAAAGAGCAUAGUAAAGAACGUGUAGACCUCACAUGCUCCAGGGAAUCCAGCAACUCUCAAAAGAAAGAAAAGCCACAAAAAGAAUUAAAGGAGUUUAAAAUCUUCAAGGAAGAAAGCAAAAAUGUAUUUGUCUUUUACACGGCUUAUGGUGGAUGAGGACAAAAACUUUGGAAUAGCAAGCUUACUGAAAAAAAAUGACAAAUUGUGUCCUAUUGUCCAGGAAACAUCAGGAAGUUGGACUUAAGUGCAGUGCAUUUCUAGAAAUGUUAAACGUAAAAAGGAUUUGGGACCACCACAUUCUCCUUCAUCUGGUAGUUCUCACGAAGAAAAAUAUUUAAAGAAAGAGAGUGAGGAAAUGUUUAAAGACCCUCCAGAGGCCAAAGAAUAUUCUGGAUUUGCAGGAAUUGGCAGGACUAGAGGGACAUUGUUCCGCAUUAGAGGCAGAGCCCGUGCUCGAGGGGUGUUUGCUGGAGCAUGUACUGGUACUGUGAAUACAACCACAACUUUCCAGAAACGGCCUAAAGAAGAAGAGUGGGACCCAGAAUAUACUCCUAAAAGCAAGAAGUAUUUCCUGCAUGAUGAUCGAGAUGAUGGGGUUGAUUAUUGGGCAAAGAGAGGAAGAAGCCGAGGGAACUUCCAGCGUGGCAGAAGUCGUUUUCCUUUUAAAAAAUCAGGCACCAGUCCUAAAUGGACACAUGAUAAAUAUCAAGGUGAUGAUCUUUUAGAGGAUGAAGAAGAAAUAAUGGAAGAAAGAAACAAAGAGGAAAAGGACUGAUUUUCAAAGAAAAGCAGAACUAAAAGUUAUGUAGUCUUUAUUUUAUUUAAUUGAAUGUGUGCAUUUUCUUUUUAUUUAGCUGGUGGAAAAUACUUGGACUGCAACACAUUUUUAAGAGACCUCAAUUUCUUCUCCAUUAUGCAAGAACUACACUGAAGAAAGCCCUAGCCAUUAUUAAAUAAAAAAAAAAGCCCUAGCCAUUAUUAAAUAAAAAAAAAGUAGAUUUUAAGAUGAUUUUAAGUUUUCAUGUUAAACUUAUUAUACUUAUCCAGAUAUAUGGAGAAGAUUAAUACUGUCUUUUUUUGUUUUUUUCUUUUAUCAGUAAAGUUUGUUUUCCUGUGUGUUCAA
This is an RNA transcript of Xenopus tropicalis (tropical clawed frog), 3303 nucleotides long. It is a transcript of the gene named BCL2 associated transcription factor 1, with no coding region annotated. The record is from RefSeq and is marked provisional. Lineage: Eukaryota; Metazoa; Chordata; Amphibia; Anura; Pipidae. The transcript has 14 exons.